GUCUCCAUGGCGCAACUGGUUAGCGCGUCUGACUGUUACUUGCAACGCGAUCAGGAGGUUGGCAGUUCAAUCCUGCCUGGGGACG
Molecule: transfer RNA, 85 nt
Filed under: Melampsora larici-populina 98AG31
Lineage: Eukaryota; Fungi; Basidiomycota; Pucciniomycetes; Pucciniales; Melampsoraceae
Description: tRNA-Asn for anticodon GUU
Rfam family: tRNA
About the family: Transfer RNA (tRNA) molecules are approximately 80 nucleotides in length. Their secondary structure includes four short double-helical elements and three loops (D, anti-codon, and T loops). Further hydrogen bonds mediate the characteristic L-shaped molecular structure. tRNAs have two regions of fundamental functional importance: the anti-codon, which is responsible for specific mRNA codon recognition, and the 3' end, to which the tRNAs corresponding amino acid is attached (by aminoacyl-tRNA synthetases). tRNAs cope with the degeneracy of the genetic code in two manners: having more than one tRNA (with a specific anti-codon) for a particular amino acid; and 'wobble' base-pairing, i.e. permitting non-standard base-pairing at the 3rd anti-codon position.
Source: Rfam by way of RNAcentral